RNAcentral lists this long non-coding RNA (1065 nucleotides) under Monodelphis domestica (gray short-tailed opossum). RNAcentral's name for it is "lncRNA (ENSMODG00000046338.1)". Lineage: Eukaryota; Metazoa; Chordata; Mammalia; Didelphimorphia; Didelphidae. The record is from RNAcentral.
UAAAAAUGGCCAUAAAAGGAAACACUGAAGAACUUAAUGAUGGCCAACCAUCAUCCUCAUGGCAUGGGGCCUUAUACCCCCAAGUUAUAGAAGGGCUUCAGGUCAAAUUAUAAGCAAAGAAAUUCCUUCUCUACUUCCUUGCAUCCUUGUUAAGCCUAAGUAAAGGUUGGGCCUAGACUUCAAAGACUUAAUGAUAAGAAAGACCCUUGAGAGAAUUAUCCCCCCUUGGAUUCUCCCCUAGCUCUCUAGUUGGACACAGAGAUAUACCUCCAGGCUGUGCUUCCAUACCAUCUGGUUGUAUCCAAGACAUCUACUUGUACCCUGAACUAAAUGCAGGUCACCCCCUAUGUCUUUGGGACAUAAGACACCACUCUGACCCUAGUCAGGUGACCACCCCCCCCCUUUUGCCUGAAUUCAUACCGUUCUCAAGCCACAUAGCACCUGCUGUAAAUAAAGUAUAAAACCCCCAGAAUUCUUUCCUUUGAGGAUGUGGUAUCAAUCCCUGCACACAGGCCUCCCAGCCAAUACAUUUCUUGUUUUAUUUCUACUUUAUGGAGUCUCAAGUCUCACAUUCUUGCAAAUCCUGAACCCAGGGGUUCACCUCACACCCCCCACAAUACUAGGAUUCUUAAGUAGAAAGAGUUUCCUUUUAUCUUGAAAGGUCAUUGUGCUUCCAAUUCUCUGAUUCACUUAAGACUAAGACAUUUAACAAAUUGAGGCAGACAAGCUCUCAUAGAGAUGAGGCAGGGCAACAAGUAUUUAAGUCCUUUGUGGAGGCCGGGCAUUGCAUUAUACCCUGAGGAUAUAUAUAUGGACCAAAAAAAGACAUCUGUUGCCUUACAUCGUAAUGGGGGAAGAUUAAUACACAAAAGGGAGCUGCAAGGGGAUGGAGGAAGGAGAAAAGACUGGAAAAUCAGUAGCAGAGCCAGAAGGAGAAUGAAGUUUGACUGGUCCAGGUCUCCUCUAAAAUGGAGGUCCUGGAGGAACUCACCAAUGGGAGAAGGCUUGGCGUGGCGGAGAGAUAUUACAAGUGCUGAUAUUGGUCCAACUCAAAGUUUCUGCUAA